ACUCCUACGGGAGGCAGCAGUGGGGAAUUUUGGACAAUGGGCGCAAGCCUGAUCCAGCCAUGCCGCGUGCGGGAAGAAGGCCUUCGGGUUGUAAACCGCUUUUGUCAGGGAAGAAAAGGUUCUGGCUAAUACCUGGGACUCAUGACGGUACCUGAAGAAUAAGCACCGGCUAACUACGUGCCAGCAGCCGCGGUAAUACGUAGGGUGCAAGCGUUAAUCGGAAUUACUGGGCGUAAAGCGUGCGCAGGCGGUUAUGCAAGACAGAGGUGAAAUCCCCGGGCUCAACCUGGGAACUGCCUUUGUGACUGCAUGGCUAGAGUACGGUAGAGGGGGAUGGAAUUGCCGCGUGUAGCAGUGAAAUGCGUAGAUAUGCGGAGGAACACCGAUGGCGAAGGCAAUCCCCUGGACCUGUACUGACGCUCAUGCACGAAAGCGUGGGGAGCAAACAGGAUUAGAUACCCU
Molecule: ribosomal RNA, 462 nt
Filed under: uncultured bacterium
Lineage: Bacteria
Description: bacterial SSU rRNA
Rfam family: Bacterial small subunit ribosomal RNA
Source: RNAcentral